Long non-coding RNA from Papaver somniferum (opium poppy), 3075 nucleotides. RefSeq lists it as uncharacterized. The transcript has 11 exons. The record is from RefSeq and is a predicted model, not a curated record. NCBI's taxonomy places the organism in Eukaryota, Viridiplantae, Streptophyta, Magnoliopsida, Ranunculales, Papaveraceae.
UUCAAACUAAGAUCCAUCUUCGAAACAUUACGUUAAAAAUCAAAUUUUUUAUUUCCCUAAUCUUCCCACUUCCUCUUACGUUUCUCUUUCCCCGCGAUCUCCAAACCUCACCUCUCUCGAGUAAACGAAAAACCCAGUCACAACUAUAACCCACCUUUACUUCCGGAACGAACACAGAAGAAUCCCCGAUCUUCUUCUUCUCAUAUACGGAUGUUUUUGGUAACAAAAUCGACUUCAUCUGAAAUCGCUCAUCUCUCGUGUAACAAAAUCACUCUUCUCUCUGUGUAAGCUAUCGACUUCAUCUGAAAUCGGUCAAGGGUUUGUAAACUAGGGUUUGCUCAAGUCACUGUGUUUUCGUUACUCUUUCUCUAGCAGAUGAAGAUUGAUGAACAAGAUGAAGGAUGCUGGAACUCCUAAAAGAGAACAUGCAGUCAUGGAGAAGAUUAAAGAAGCACACAGGAGAGUGAUGGUGGCUAACCAUCCUGACCAGGGUGGGAGCAUUUAUCUUGCUAAAAAGAUCAACGAGGCUAAGGUACUUUUGAUGGAUAAGGGUCGAUUUCAAUUCUUUCCAUGUGAAGGUUGAACUGAUUGUUGGGCUAGAAGUCAUAGAACAAGUCAAGCUGGUGUUUUAUAAAAUAAAACAAGAAGAAUAAUCAACCAAGAGGGAUGCUGGUGAUGUUGGUGGGCGUACUCAAGUACAAGAUCCAGAUCCCGUUCCCAGAUCUAGUAAUGGCUUGUCUGAAGAAAUAAUUUCUCAUAAGAUUCUGAAACAGGAAGUUAUAUCCAGAAAGGUAUUGGUUGAUGAGGGUUCAAGGCAGGUUGUCGAGGUGGAGCAAGCAGCCAUGUGGAAGUUUCUUUGGUGGUCGGGAAUCAUAGCUGUCCAUGUUAUGGUUGGCCAAAACAUAGAUGAUCACUCGGUAAGUGAAAGCUACUGCUGUCAUAUGCAUAAAAAUUUUGUUUGAAGACGUAUACGAGAAGCAUCUUGAUUGCUGUUAUGUUUGAAGUUUCAUUUUGCUAGGCUAUUCUAAGUAAAUGUAUUUGUAGUAAUUUAGUUUUGCGUCAAUUUUUUCGGUCGGCCAUCCCACCGUAGAUCGGGAUAUAAGAAAUCAGUCACAAGAACCGCCACCACCUCAGCAGACAAUUGGUGCUGCUGCUGUUGGGGCUGGUUAUGGUAUUACCAUUAACCGUAUCUUCUGCUCCUCUUGUUCUUACAAGUUUUGAUUAUUCUUUUGUCCAUUUAAAAUUUUUAUUCGAUCUUUGUUUUUAUUUUGGCUUGUGAUUCGAUUGAGUUAGGUUGGAACUUUUAUCUGGUGAUUGCUGAUGACUUUGGUGUUUUAGAAGUAAUUGAAAUUCAGGUCUACUUGUGAAUAUUAGGUUUGUUGUUGUCUUGAUUUGUUUUCUGGUACUAAAUUUAUAUAUUGCAGGUGAGAGUUGCAGUGGUAUCGGUACCUCAUUUACGUCAUGACUGCUAAGUGUUGCCGGAUUGCCUGCUAAUAUAAAAGAAAAUAGGUUUGUUGUUGUCUUGAUUAGUUUUCUGGACUGCUCUUUUGUACUUAAAUCUACUAAAUUUGUAUUUUGCAGGUGAGAGUUGCAGUGGUAUUGGUACCUAUUUACGUCAUGACUGAUAAGUGUUAGCGGAUUGCCUGCUAAUAUAAAAGAAAUUAAGGACUCAUGCUGGUUGUUGCAACAAUUUGGCAAGAUAUAUGCUGGACCAUUUUGACUGUGAUUCGUACAGAAUUCUGUUUUGUAGUUUGAUUCUUCACAAGACUAAACUUUGUGCUCCUUCACCUGCUCCAUUCAAGGCUUAUUACGAAGAUUUGUAUUGUUGAUUGUAAAGAAAUUAUCGUUUAUGAGAAAAACCAUGAACCCUGAAACCCUGAACUAAUUAAAGACAUCUAAUUUCAGAAGAUUUUCCAGGCAUUGUAACCAUGUAUUCACUACAAAUCCAACAUAUAAGUAACCAAAGCUAAUUAAAAAGAAAUUAUGAUUUGUUUAAAAGUUUUCCAUGAGUCCAGGACAACAGAGAAGCCAAUUAAUUACAUAAUGAUUCCCUAACUAUUCUUUUUGCACUUGCUUAAGUUCAGGGCCAGCAGAAAAGGCCUAAUCAUUGUUUGGGAAUCCUCUAAGUAGAUAGACAAUACCUCUUCAAUUUAAACCCCUGAAAAUUUAAACAAUAUCAACAUGUACGUUCUCAAAACCCAAUUCAAACAAGUCACCUUUUUUUUCAAAGAAAUAGCUGACACUUGUUCAAUAUUUCUUCUCUUUCGAAGACAUUUACAUAAACAACGGUUACAAUACCAAAUUUCUUGCCAAAGCACAUGCAUAAAUCAACAACAUCAAUAAAAGUAAAAAUGGCGAUAUCUUUUUGUCUCCCUGGAACAUCAUGGUUAGGUCUCCCAAGCUGUCGCUUUUCAUUCAAUCGGCGUUCGGAAGAAGCUGAUUUUCUUUUUGAUAUAAAAGGCUGAAAAUGAAUAUACCCUUACUUGAAAAUCUGCAGGGAACAAAUAUCUAGUGAAAAAGGGCAGGUAAGGACAGGAUGAAAUGAUAGAUUUCUCAGAGCAUUGUCAAAAGAAAUCUCAUCAACAGGUUUGCCAUUUUGUUCCCUAGUGCUUGCCAAUUUAUAUCCAUUGGAACUUUCCAACACUUCAAAGUAGUGACCAGAAGAUGGUACGUCGGUACCGCUGUAUCAAUUUAAUCAUUUCUUCUAUUCCAUGAUAAACUGAAAGACUUUUUACCUUAUUAUAUCGGAGAGCAAAGAGGCUGCAUAUGUAUAUAUAUGCUGGACAAAUCUCAGUUCAUUAUAUUUUGGGAAUUGAGUUUGAACGGAGCAUCCUCAUCUCUACAUAAUAGAAAAGGACAUACAUAUCCAUGAAGUUUUUCUAGGUCAUAGAAAGUCAGUAAAACCACUCAAGAAAACCUUAAAAUUAUUACCAAGAGGCGAGAGCAAAGACGUAAAAAUCAUAAUAGCGGAGAUUUUAAAGUCUAGGAAGACAUUGAUUUCGAAAAAAAAUAUACCCGCAUCUAAAACUGAAAUUUGGGGACGUUGUGAAAACUGCAAAAAAAAAAAAAAAAAAA